AGAGUUUGAUCAUGGCUCAGAACGUACGCUGGCGGCACGCCUUAUACAUGCAAGUCGAACGAAGUAGCAAUACUUAGUGGCAGACGGGUGAGUAACAUGUGGGUAUCUUCCCAUUGGUGAGGAAUAACACGAGGAAACUUGUGCUAAUACCUCAUAAGUCUUUACAGAGAAAGCUUUAUGCGCCAAUGGAUGAGCUCGCACUUGAUUAGUUUGUUGGUGGGGUAAUGGCCUACCAAGACUUUGAUCAAUAGCUGAUCUGAGAGGAUGAUCAGCCACAUUGGGACUGAGACACGGCCCAAACUCCUACGGGAGGCAGCAGUAGGGAAUAUUGCACAAUGGAGGAAACUCUGAUGCAGCGAUGCCGCGUGAGUGAAGAAGGCCUUUGGGUUGUAAAGCUCUUUCGUCGGGGAAGAAAAUGACUGUACCCGAAUAAGAAGGUCCGGCUAACUUCGUGCCAGCCGCCGCGGU
This 468-nucleotide ribosomal RNA is filed under the name uncultured bacterium. Its description in RNAcentral is "bacterial SSU rRNA". It matches the Rfam family "Bacterial small subunit ribosomal RNA", at positions 8 to 521 of the family's 1533-position model. The record is from RNAcentral.